This 161-nucleotide ribosomal RNA is filed under the name Mycetinis opacus. Its description in RNAcentral is "5.8S ribosomal RNA". It matches the Rfam family "5.8S ribosomal RNA". Rfam says of the family: 5.8S ribosomal RNA (5.8S rRNA) is a component of the large subunit of the eukaryotic ribosome. It is transcribed by RNA polymerase I as part of the 45S precursor that also contains 18S and 28S rRNA. Lineage: Eukaryota; Fungi; Basidiomycota; Agaricomycetes; Agaricales; Omphalotaceae. The record is from RNAcentral.
UACAACUUUCAGCAACGGAUCUCUUGGCUCUCCCAUCGAUGAAGAACGCAGCGAAAUGCGAUAAGUAAUGUGAAUUGCAGAAUUCAGUGAAUCAUCGAAUCUUUGAACGCACCUUGCGCCCUUUGGUAUUCCGAAGGGCAUGCCUGUUUGAGUGUCAUUAA